UGCAGUCGAGCGACUGAUUAGAAGCUUGCUUCUAUGACGUUAGCGGCGGGCGGGUGAGUAACACGUGGGCAACCUGCCUGUAAGACUGGGAUAACUUCGGGAAACCGAAGCUAAUACCGGAUAGGAUCUUCUCCUUCAUGGGAGAUGAUUGAAAGAUGGUUUCGGCUAUCACUUACAGAUGGGCCCGCGGUGCAUUAGCUAGUUGGUGAGGUAACGGCUCACCAAGGCAACGAUGCAUAGCCGACCUGAGAGGGUGAUCGGCCACACUGGGACUGAGACACGGCCCAGACUCCUACGGGAGGCAGCAGUAGGGAAUCUUCCGCAAUGGACGAAAGUCUGACGGAGCAACGCCGCGUGAGUGAUGAAGGCUUUCGGGUCGUAAAACUCUGUUGUUAGGGAAGAACAAGUACGAGAGUAACUGCUCGUACCUUGACGGUACCUAACCAGAAAGCCACGGCUAACUACGUGCCAGCAGCCGCGGUAAUACGUAGGUGGCAAGCGUUAUCCGGAAUUAUUGGGCGUAAAGCGCGCGCAGGCGGUUUCUUAAGUCUGAUGUGAAAGCCCACGGCUCAACCGUGGAGGGUCAUUGGAAACUGGGGAACUUGAGUGCAGAAGAGAAAAGCGGAAUUCCACGUGUAGCGGUGAAAUGCGUAGAGAUGUGGAGGAACACCAGUGGCGAAGGCGGCUUUUUUGGUCUGUAACUGACGCUGAGGCGCGAAAGCGUGGGGAGCAAAACAGGAUUAGAUACCCUGGGUAGUCCACGCCGUAAACGAUGAGUGCUAAGUGUUAGAGGGUUUCCGCCCUUUAGUGCUGCAGCUAACGCAUUAAGCACUCCGCCCUGGGGAGUACGGUCGCAAGACUGAAACUCAAAGGAAUUGACGGGGGCCCCGCACAAGCCGUGGAACAUGUGGUUUAAUUUC
Molecule: ribosomal RNA, 920 nt
Filed under: uncultured bacterium
Lineage: Bacteria
Description: bacterial SSU rRNA
Rfam family: Bacterial small subunit ribosomal RNA
Source: RNAcentral